Molecule: long non-coding RNA, 1059 nt
Organism: Hibiscus syriacus
Lineage: Eukaryota; Viridiplantae; Streptophyta; Magnoliopsida; Malvales; Malvaceae
Exons: 2
Source: RefSeq, a predicted model, not a curated record
UCAAUCUGAUAUUGAAGUGACGAUUUUCUUAUGGAGUCGAGCAUCUAAACCCUAAAGUCAAUUUGCUUCAGAUUCAGAAUUUUUCUCAGGAAAGAACAAAAGAUUCUAUUAUGUCAGCUUCAUGAGUAUCUAUGCAAUUCCCUUUGAAGGCCCGUGGAUCUGUUCCUUCCUCUGUUCCUUUUGAGCCACCAAGAAUAGGAUUCAGUGAUUCUCAAUGUCUUACAAAAGAGCCAGAGUUCAUGAUGGUUUCUUCCCGGUAUAACUCGGAUGUGAACGACUGGUACAAGCCCUCAUGUUAGGAAGCAAAGCAGCAGAUCUUUGAAAGAUGGUGGAUGACUAAAGAAUUUCUGGAGAACGGAAAUGCUUUUGGGAGCAGAAGCAGAACACUUGGUGAAAUGCUUGCUAUGCCCGAUCAUGCUAAACGUGCAAACCUUCGUGGUCCUUUUGGCAUUAGCAGUAGAGAUGGCUGGAAAAAUGGGGGUGUUGGAGAGUCGCGAUCACAGUCGUAUUCUACACCUGUUGGAAGUCCUAUAACCAAGACUACUCCCAAAGCUUUAGAUGUUGAUUCGCAUAUGAGCACGAGACCAGUGUUUCCUUGGUCAAGACGGAAGGAUCCUAUGACAUCAUCCUAGUUGAUCAGUGGAAUGACAUCAAGGAUAGGAAAGGGUCUACAGAGGAUUUUGUGGUACCCGAGUCAUCAAUGUACUCGACUGCAUCUCAAAGCAUCGUCUCUGAUAUGGUGGUUGCCUUAGAAACUCCAGAAGCUGCCAAUACUACUGAAAAUCAUACCAAGCACUGGCUCGAAUCAAUGGACUGCUCUAUGCCGAAGAAAGACCGUGAUUCUACUUUUUGUAUCCCUGAUGCUUGGAGUCAACAUGUUCAAUGUUGUUUUAAGUUUCCAACUAAUAUUAGUAUUAAUUGCAUUUUAGAUAUAAUAAUCAAACUGUAUUGCUAAAUUCAAUAUAUAAUCUGCAUUGAUAUGGUUGAAGUGAAUUACAUUCUUCUGCACUGUACUUUGUGAUCGAGACAUUGAUGUUUUAAUUUAUUUUGAUUCCGCUC